AGCGAACGCUGGCGGCGUGCUUAACACAUGCAAGUCGAGUGCGCGCCUGUAGCAAUACAGGUGGCGCACGGCGCACGGGUGCGUAACACGUGGGUAAUCUGCCCUUCGAUGGGGAAUAACCUCGCGAAAGCGAGGCUAAUUCCGCAUAACAUUCCGAUGGUUCCGAUCAAUGGACUCAAAGCCGUAAGGCGUCGGAGGAGGAGCCCGCGCACGAUUAGCUAGNGGUGAGGUAACGGCUCACCAAGGCUUUGAUCGUUAGCUGGUCUGAGAGGAUGGCCAGCCACACUGGAACUGAGACACGGUCCAGACUCCUACGGGAGGCAGCAGUGGGGAAUCUUGCACAAUGGGCGAAAGCCUGAUGCAGCGACGCCGCGUGGGGGAUGAAGC
This 387-nucleotide ribosomal RNA is filed under the name uncultured bacterium. RNAcentral describes it as "bacterial SSU rRNA". It matches the Rfam family "Bacterial small subunit ribosomal RNA", at positions 29 to 414 of the family's 1533-position model. The record is from RNAcentral.